Long non-coding RNA from Ictalurus punctatus (channel catfish), 4553 nucleotides. RefSeq lists it as uncharacterized. The transcript is spliced from 5 exons. NCBI's taxonomy places the organism in Eukaryota, Metazoa, Chordata, Actinopteri, Siluriformes, Ictaluridae. The record is from RefSeq and is a predicted model, not a curated record.
AACAGUGUACGUCUUAAAGGUCUGAGAUUUACAGUGGUUUGAAAGGUCACCGUCUGCAUCUCACAGGCAGCUGGGACUUGUAAAACGAUCCCUCUUAUCAAAUGUUAAUGCUGCCAGACCCACAUUGCUUCAGGGACAAGCGGAGAAUAGCCUCUGUCUGUGAGGUCUUAAGGUCCCACAGAAACAAGUAAUUCAAUUUGCAUGCAAAAACCAGACGCUAAUUGCAACUUGACUCUCAGAAACUCAAAUGGAGCUCCUUUGUACUCUCCCCAUCGCAAGGGAGAAUGUAAUAUCUCGGUAGGAAGUGUCUUUUAGUGUGACUGUUGACCAACCUAAAGGUUUUUUGCAACUGUUCCUGCGUCUAUAUUGCAGCUUGACACUUAGCCAGCCAGAAGAGGAGGCUUGGGACAACGAGUUUCUCUCUGUCAGAAAGAAUUUUGAACACACCACUAGUCUUACAGCUAUGGGGGCGGUGGUGGCUCAAUGGUUAAGGCUCCGUGUUACUGAUCAGAAGGUCCUUAUUCAAGCCCCAGCACCCCAAGCAUGGCCCUCAAGCAUGGCGUCUCUGCUACAGGUGUGCCAUUUCAUGGCUGACCCUGCACUAUUACCCCAAUUUCCUAACAAGCUGGGUCAUGCUGAAUCUGGAUUCUAUCCUGGGAACACUGGCAUGACAUGGGACUGCAUUUGUCAGUAUAAAUAUUAUGUAAUUGAUUUAGAACACCAUUAAUGAUGUAUGUUAUAGAAGGAUUGAUAACAUUUGUAGCUUCUGGCUGUUUUGCCGACCCUUGUGAAUCCUAAUUACGCCAUCAACUUAAACUAUUUGACCUGUGGAUAUAUUGAACCUGCCUCUGUUUCAUAUAAAAGUACUUUGAGUUCAAUAAACCAGAAAGCCUUCAGCAAUAUUUUUAACAAUCAUGAUCAGAUACUCACAUUUUUUUUACACUCAAGAACCACAGCAAUGCAAACAAUUUUUUUUAUCUGUAUUUUUGUUUACAUUUAUGAACAGGAUAGAGACAUAAAAAUAACAAACAUUACAAACAGGUGUGUUGCACAGUGGGAGGUGGACAGAAAUAGAACUUGCCGCUCAAAUGUAUUAUGUAAUAUUUGAACCUCCAUCACCCACCCUCAGUCAAGGUGAAUGCGUCCACUCUGCGUUCUGGGUUAAAUCUCAGCCUGUGCAUGUCUCAUGGUGGAACCAUGAAUUUCACAGCUUUAAAUUAAAUCCUCUGCCUCACACUGUUGGCCUUUGUUCUUCCACAUUAAUUUAGUAUGAGAUGUUGUGGGUUAGCUACAUUCCUGACAUAGCUAAUACCACAAACAGGAGAAAACAAAACUAGGAGGUUACAGACUGCACACAGCGCCUAUCAAAGAAAAAAAUUACAAAUAUUUAACACCUUCUGCUAAUGAUUCCUUUGAUUAUUAUUGUGAAGUGGGCAUUUAGGACAAUCAACUCAGCAAUUAAAGUUAUAGAUUCAUCUAUGUUCAUGGACAUAAUAUUUUUCUACAUUCUAACAUGAGAACAUUAGAAUAUACUACAUAUACCGCUGUUGAAUUCUUCAUUCUGUUUGGUUGAUUAAUUUUCUAUAACAGCAGCUCUGGCAGUAUUGCUGGUAAUUGCUGUAAUUCAAAUCACAGGUGUAUAUUAAAGCACAAUUUCUAACAUGUUAUCAUUUCUGUAGUAAUUCAUUCAUAGAGACUUGUAUGGCAAAAACUCUGCAUAAUCUAAGGCUAACAAAAAAUAGAUUUAAAAAGUGGUAUUUAACAAAGAAAAACAUAAAGGAUAAUCAUUGACAUGGUGAAGCUUUUGUAAAAAGACAAUUAUAUAACUUAGGAGUCUCUAGUGUCAGCGCUUUGGAAUGGUUUUCCACCAUGAGAAAGUCUUCAGGACAAAGGCCUUUCCAGUGCGCCUGUAACGUGACGGUUCUCUGUGGUUGCUGUUGAUAAUGUUGUUGUUGUUGUUGUUGUAGUAACCUAAGUGAUAACAAGAAGUAACUCAAGAUAUUCCAUAGCAUUAAAUGUAACUACUGUAUAAAUUGUAAACAAGCUCGACAUAUUUAUUAAUAAUUUUUUCUUAUUACUUUAUCAUUGGCAGUUUGCUGUGGUAUAAGAGGAAACAUGAUGGAGAACACUGUUUUUUGGAGUGUAAUGUGUUAUUUAAAUGUAACUGUGUGAACGGCUGUAUAUUUUGGGGAAUUUUUGUUUGUUUGUUUUACAACAGCAGUUGUCAUUUUGCUUACAUUUGUGUUGUGUAGCUUGGUUAGCUUAUUUUGCUACUAGCUAGGUAAAGCUAUUUAUAGGAUUUAUUUUUGUUAUUGUUACUAUCAAUACAAAAUACAACUAGUUCCCUAUUUAAUAUUUAAAGCUAUUUAGAAUGAAUUAGAUGGAAUUUUGCUAAAACCUUAUAAAACAUGUAUUAUAGGUAGUUCGCAAUCGAAGUGUAUAAUACACACUAUGAUACAGGAGAUAUUGGUAAGGUGAGUUCAAAAAAUUAUAUUUCACCAGAUCAGUAAAAUAGUCUCUUGAAGCUACAUAUGCAAACAAUAAAUGGAUGUCUAACAUCAAAUGUCUGCUUACAUAAACCAGAUUUAUGAAUGUUACCAGCCACGUGAAUCAUACGUGAAGGUGUGUGAAAGUCACUGGAAACCAGAAAUGAGGGUCAGCGGAUAAGGAUAAUACAGGACUGUGUGUUUGUAGUUAGGAUGUACGUGCCACUUAGGUAGAAACGAGCCGCGCUUUGUUGAAAUCCUCAACACGAAAUAGAGUAGGACUUGCCUGACUCUGACUCUGUGUGUUUGCACAGCAUGGUACUUGCAAACCUUGCAUGUUCUUACUUUUAUCCCACUGUGAAGGAAAUUUAUUUGAUGCUUUUCCACAAUUCUUUACGUGAGACUCUAUAAAUCCACCAAGUAUAAUGUUUGCUUCAGGCCUCUGUGCUUUAGGCCCAAUAAACAAAUUAACAUUAAAUAACAAAGAAACCUUGACUUUUAACACAUUUAUAAGCCUUGCAUGAGCUUGGGCUAUGAGCCAAAACUCCAUCACAUAUACACGUAUAUACACAUGUACAGUAUAUACACUCAGUGACAUCAGGCCCUUCCUGAUGUAAAUUCCUUUUUUCACUACAGGAUGCACCUGCCUGAUCCAAGCAUAAAAGAUCUAACAAGGUUCGCUCUUUGUAAACCACCCAUCAUUUUCCACAAUGGGUUGAUGUCAAGCAUUCCAGGGCUAUAUUUAUGCAAGGGGCACACAUUUAUUAUAGCAAAAAUGACUAUAGUGAAUAGAGUAUGCUGACAUGAGUUAUCACUCAGAAAUACGCCAAUAGACCAGUUUUGAUUUUUAUCUCACACCCAUGGAAAAGAAAAUUGUUCUGCACGGUCUUUCACAGUGAUGUUUGUUGGUAAAUGAGACCUUUUAGCUGUACGACGCACGUGACUCGAAGAGAGCUUUGACUGAAUGCAUGUUGUGAUGAUGUCACAUGACACAUCUUGACCUAAAUCUGUGGAAAAUCUGCAGUAAUUUUGAAAAAUGGCAAGCUCCUUUGUAUAAUGCAUUUACUUGCGUUAAUUUCUGUAAUCACAAAAUUGCGAAAUCCUGGAGGGACUGAUAUAGUUAAGUAUGUUUUAUGUAUAUAGUUGAGUACCUUUAGUUAAGUAGUUAAAUAUGUGGUUAAAUACUAGUUAACUAUAUUUAUUAAGGAUGGCACUGAAAGGUUUCAGACAAAAAUGGUCAAAAUUGUUGUAAGGGAGCAGAUCUUUGCACCUCAACAGUUUUGCGCUCAAGUCUCCAUCAGUGAACAGUGGAGAAGUUCAACAAAACAGACUUCAUGUAAACCUUUAAUGAAUUUUCCUGGCUCCACAACUACACUAUUUGAACAUGUAUUAGCUUAGACUUUUUUAUAAUUAUACUACUUGUUGUUACCCAGAUGAGGAUGGGUUCCCUUCUGAGUCUGUUUCCUCAAUGUUUCUUCCUCAUAUCGUCUCAGGGAGUUUUUCCUCACCACCGUCGCUUCUGGCUUGCACAUUAGGGACAAAUUCAUAAAUUAAAAAUGUAUAUUCUGAAUUUAUGUUUCUGUAAAGCUGCUUUGGGACAAUGUCCAUUGUUUAAAGUGCUAUACAAAUAGAAUUUAAUUGAAUUGAAAAAUAGCACUUUCAAAAACAGGUCAAAAUAUUUUGAGGAAAAUUUUAUAGCAAAGUAGCAAAUCUAACACCUCAAAUCAUUUUAAUGACGAUUAAAAAGUGAUUUAUUUCCUUUGCACAUCUGCACCGGUCAGCAGAGUCACCGUCCACAAAAAUGAAAAUAUUGUCUGCAUUUCACAAAUACAACAAGGGAUAUUAGUCGUUUUGCAUAAAUUGCUUGUCUAUGUCAACAAUGUAGUGUGGUAUGUUUUUUACUGUUUUCUACAUUUUUCCUUUCCCUCCUCUCCCAUCCUGGGACUAGGCAUUAUUACUGGCAUGCCAGUUAUAGCUAUUUAAAAGGCCUAGCAGCAAAUAACUCUUUACUUGCAUGCAAGGCAGACCGCAGUCUGUCUAGUCCUGAUAUCCAGAACAGCUCACCAC